UAGUAGGUGCUCGGUAUUCCCCGUGCGUGAUAAAAACUGGCAACUCGCCUCGCUGAUCAUCUGCAUCUGCGAUCGUGUAGAGGGGCCGUAAUAAUAUGUUUGUUUUAUCAUCGAUAACGUUGAUAAGCAGUAGAUAGGUACCUAAGUGAAAAAAAACUUCAGAGCAGUUGAUCUGAUAACUUCACCGUCUGCAGCCAACAAUGAAGUUUCAAUAACCACUAUCGGGUUUCAAAGUAGAAUCAUACAGUCCGCGUUUAAUCGAUGUGCCUCCUAUUUCUUCAAAUGCACCUAAUGACAGCUGCACAUAAAAAUGUAUGAUUUUCGCAAUCCAGUAUUAUUUGAACAUCUGUUAAACCAGGCGGGUUUAAUAGAAGAUUUUUAUAGAUCGAUACAGCAAGGUAACAUAGGGGAAGCUGUUGUGAUUGCAAUAAAAUCACUUAGGAUAAAUAACAUUCCUAUCAUUAAAAAAGAACCGAAAUCAGCGAACUUUUCGCAUAGGGCAUGUCAUGUUGGAGACCAGGCCCUCAAUAAUAAAAACUACAGGAAUGCUUUUGAAAUGUAUAACUGUGCAAUCAGAUGUGCGCCUGAGGGUUCUGAGGCAAUGUUGGACGCGUACUUUGGUAGAUCCAGACUGUUAUUCGCUAUCGGAACCUGCCCUUCAGAAUGUAUAGCUGAUAUAGACACAUGUCUUUCUUGGAAAAACCUCGCAUACGAACAAAGGCUACAAAAAAUGAAAGCAGACAGCCUUAAAAAAAUUAAAACCAUCGACCCUCGCUCAAGGAAUGCCUUUGUUGAUAAUUUCUUUAACAUUAAAAACAAACACCCGCUUGUGCCAAGCGUCAGCGCCGACGUCGAUUUCGUCAUUGAAAGCGGACAGUCAAAAGUAGUUGCUCGGCAGAACAUCCCGCCGGGAACAUUAGUUGCACUAGAGGCAGCUUACGUUGCAAUUUUACGAGACCUAAAUAAAAACAGAUCAUGUUACUAUUGUCAUCAUAUUUCAUUAAAUCUAAUUCCGUGUCACAGUUGUACAGGAAUAUUAUUCUGCAGCCCAGAAUGCAGGAAGCUUUGCUGGGAAGAGUUUCACAAUGUCCAAUGUCAUAUAAUUUCACUAUUCGAGGAUGAUAAACUAACUGGAUCAUCACUACCCACCGUAGCAGCUAUAAAAUUUAAAAAUUCAUGUUCCUGGGACGAAUUUAUAGCAAUUUCUCAUAAUUUGGGUUUGAAAAAGAUGGAAAACAGUAUGAUAAACGUAGUUUAUGAUGUAAACAACAAGGCGUCGAUUUUGAAAUUCAACAAUGAAAAUAAUAUGUUCGUUUUUGGAGAUACUUUCAAUGCACUUAAUGUCAUUGCCGUUAUAAUAUUCCAUUUAGAAGAAGUACUACCAUCAUUCUUUCCUCGUGAGAAAGACGAAGCUAUCCGUGCAAUGGGCAGAGUAUUACUGCACAUACAUAAAUCUACCAGACACGCAAUACAUAUUGGGAAUACGGCUAAAGCAGCAAUGGAUGAGAAGAGUAUUCUUCUGGAAAAUCAUGGCUUAUUUUCGUUUACGAGUAAAUUGAAACACUCUUGUGAUCCAAAUCUUUACGUAUCAGGACUAAACAAUAAAGCUGCACUUAUAUCAUUGAGACCAAUAAAAAUGGGAGAAGAGUUAACAAUAUCAUACAUCGGCCACUGGUAUGAUCACAUAAUAACAAACCGAUCCUUGCACAUGUGGAUGAAUAAUAAAAAAAUCUGCCGAUGCAAAGUCUGUGUUAAUAACUGGGAUCACCGAAUGGUCGGCCUACCUAAAGCCAAAAUGACCGCUCAACAAAAAUCAUCGUUCGACAAGUGGAUGUAUUUGUUUACCGCUUCUCAUAUAAGCCCGGUGAACUUCGUUACUAUGUAUAAAGAAACUUUUCGCUGUAUCGGGGAAUUACACGACCUACCGAACACCCAAGAACAUAGACAAAUCUAUAACGAAAUGAGAGGUUUGAUUGAAUCUUUAAAGUACCAAGCUACAAAAAGUUGCACGAUUUAAAUUAAAUUACAAAAUAAUGUUUGUGACAGUGUUUUUAAGAUUCUGCGCUCCGUGCCGCGCGCUCAUGGCCGGUAAUGAAAAAAGAAGAAUUUAUUUUAUGUUGUCACUUUGACACUUCACUGCGAUUUGCUCUUUUGAUUUUGUUCGGAUUGAUAAAUUAUUUCUUUUAUGUUUUUUGUAAUUGUCUAUUGUAAAUAUUAUAUUUGUUUAUUCAAAGCCGCUUAUAAUUCAAUAUACAUCUACCUCCGAUAAAUUAAUGUGAGGAGACGUUAGAUUCGUCUCCCACAAGUGUUUUUGACAUGCUUUUUUUAGUUUGUUAAGUCUUUUUGUAUAAAAUACUAGCUGACCCGGCGAACUUCGUACCGCCUUAGCGUAGAGAUUUUCUUAAUAUUUUUUUCCGUAAGAACCAUCCUUGGACUUCCACAAACAUUUAAAAAAAAGAAUUAUCGAAAUCGGUUCAGCCGUUCACACGUGAUGCCGUGACAACGCGAAACGGGUUUCAUUUAUAUAUAUAUAGAUUGUAUCUGUUAAUCAGACUGAUUAUACAAUGUAAUACAUAUUUUUGAAUUAAAUUAAAUAAAGUUUUAAAUGGA
Ostrinia nubilalis (European corn borer) is the source of this 2610-nucleotide long non-coding RNA. RefSeq lists it as uncharacterized. The record is from RefSeq and is a predicted model, not a curated record. The transcript has 3 exons. Lineage: Eukaryota; Metazoa; Arthropoda; Insecta; Lepidoptera; Crambidae.